AGCUUUAGUAAAUGGACUUAAAUCUGUCACAUAGUUGACACGUCUCCAUUGUUCUAAUCAGCUUGUCUAUAACAGCUGGAAGCCCUAGCAAGAUGGCCACAACUGGUGGACUGGCAUUGCUGUGAUCCCUCUCAUCUGUGGCAGCAAACUGUAGGGGAGGAGCCCCUUGAGAUGUUCCAGGCCCCCAGAGUCUCACUGCCAACACUGAGGGAGCUACUGAGAUUCCUGAGACACCCUGCAGAUUUUCUGGAAUCCAUCUAGUCUGGUCUGCAGGUACAGAAAACUGUCCACUCCCAGGUAUGAGCUAUCAGCCCCUCCCCAGCUGUACAUCAUGCCACCCAUUCCACCCCAGGGAUACUGUCCUCAUCAAAGCCUGAGGGCAUGAAGGACUGACUGCAGCCUGGACGGGACCCUACAUGGUCG
This 423-nucleotide long non-coding RNA is filed under the name Fukomys damarensis (Damara mole-rat). RNAcentral's name for it is "lncRNA (ENSFDAG00000022046.1)". The record is from RNAcentral. Lineage: Eukaryota; Metazoa; Chordata; Mammalia; Rodentia; Bathyergidae.